GCGCAGCAGGCGAGAAAACUUUGCAAUACACGAAAGUGUGACAGGGUCAUCCCGAGUGCCAUCCGCUGAGGAAGGCUUUUACCCAGUCUAGAACGCUGGGGGAAUAAGGAGAGGGCAAGUCUGGUGUCAGCCGCCGCGGUAAUACCAGCUCUCCGAGUGGUGUGGAUGUUUAUUGGGCCUAAAGCAUCCGUAGCUGGCUGAGUUAGUCCCUUGUUAAAUCCACCGAAUUAAUCGUUGGAUUGCGGGGGAUACUGCUCGGCUAGGGGACGAGAGAGGCAGACGGUAUUUCUGGGGUAGGGGUGAAAUCCUAUAAUCCCAGGAGGACCACCAGUGGCGAAGGCUGUCUGCUAGAACGCGCCCGACGGUGAGGGAUGAAAGCUGGGGGAGCGAACCGGAUUAGAUACCCGGGUAGUCCCAGCUGUAAACGAUGCAGACUAGGUGUUUGGACGGCCACGUGCCGUUCUAGUGCCGCAGGGAAGCUGUUAAGUCUGCCGCCUGGGGAGUACGAUCGCAAGAUUGAAACUUAAAGGAAUUGGCGGGGGAGCAC
Molecule: ribosomal RNA, 547 nt
Filed under: uncultured bacterium
Lineage: Bacteria
Description: bacterial SSU rRNA
Rfam family: Archaeal small subunit ribosomal RNA
Source: RNAcentral